AUUGCUUGCAAUCUGAUGACGAGUGGCGCACGGGUGCGUAACGCGUAUACAAUCUACCUUUAAGCGGGGGAUAGCCCAUGGAAACGUGGAUUAAUACCCCAUGGUAUAUAGGAGUCACCUGGCUUUUAUAUUAAACAUUUAUGGCUUAAAGAUGAGUAUGCGUCCUAUUAGUUAGUUGGUAAGGUAACGGCUUACCAAGACGGCGAUAGGUAGGGGUCCUGAGAGGGAGAUCCCCCACACUGGUACUGAGACACGGACCAGACUCCUACGGGAGGCAGCAGUGAGGAAUAUUGGACAAUGGAGGCAACUCUGAUCCAGCCAUGCCGCGUGCAGGAAGACUGCCCUAUGGGUUGUAAACUGCUUUUAUACGGGAAGAACCACAUCUACGAGUAGGUGCUUGACGGUACCGUAUGAAUAAGGAUCGGCUAACUCCGUGCCAGCAGCCGCGGUAAUACGGAGGAUCCAAGCGUUAUCCGGAAUCAUUGGGUUUAAAGGGUCCGUAGGCGGGACAAUAAGUCAGUGGUGAAAGUCUGCAGCUCAACUGUAGAAUUGCCAUUGAUACUGUUGUUCUUGAAUUAGUAUGAAGUGGUUGGAAUGAGUAGUGUAGCGGUGAAAUGCAUAGAUAUUACUCAGAACACCUAUUGCGAAGGCAGAUCACUAAUACUAUAUUGACGCUGAUGGACGAAAGCGUAGGUAGCGAACAGGAUUAGAUACCCUGGUAGUCUACGCCGUAAACGAUGGUUACUAGCUGUUCGGCCCAAUUGAGGGCUGAGUGGUUAAGCGAAAGUGAUAAGUAACCCACCUGGGGAGUACGUUCGCAAGAAUGAAACUCAAAGGAAUUGACGGGGGCCCGCACAAGCGGUGGAGCAUGUGGUUUAAUUCGAUGAUACGCGAGGAACCUUACCAGGGCUUAAAUGCAGUCUGACAGGAGUGGAAACACUCCCUUCUUCGGACAGAUUGCAAGGUGCUGCAUGGUUGUCGUCAGCUCGUGCCGUGAGGUGUCAGGUUAAG
RNAcentral lists this ribosomal RNA (1011 nucleotides) under uncultured Christiangramia sp. RNAcentral's name for it is "bacterial SSU rRNA". It matches the Rfam family "Bacterial small subunit ribosomal RNA", at positions 75 to 1084 of the family's 1533-position model. The record is from RNAcentral. Lineage: Bacteria; Pseudomonadati; Bacteroidota; Flavobacteriia; Flavobacteriales; Flavobacteriaceae.